AUCUCUGGACAUAUUGUGGAUGUUUAAUAAUUAUAUUUUUAAUGAUUGAAGGAAUAACACAGAAGGGAAUCCUGCAUUUAUUGAGCAGGGCGUUGGAAUGCAAAACUUUAAGAUACUUUAACUGUGAAAUUCUUGGAAGCAUUCAUCAUCCUGUGGAAAGCUAAAUUCAAUGAGGUCAGGAAAUCCAAAUGCAGGAAGAAAAAUGAAAACUUCAGCUAAAAUCAUUACAGUGGUUAAGGGACAGGAGACAGGAAAAUUCUGGGCAGAAGAGGGCAGGUCCCCAGCGAGGGCUUCACCUUCAAGCCUGGAACUAUGGCCCAAAGUGAGAAUGUACAUCCCUGUUUUCCCGCUUGAAUGUUGCCUUUUCCAAAACCACCCAUGGCCUCCCCUGCCCCCAUCCUGUGCCCAUAAAAACCCCAGGAUCAGCCAGCAGAGAGAGGAGAAGAGGAGAUGCAGCUGGAUGUCAGAAACUACCGUUGGAGAGAAGCAGCUUGACUUCAGAGGGACAGGUUGAUGGCACAGCUUUGGAGAGGGGUUUGGCCAUCCCCAGCCAGACUCCAGAGAAAGAUUACCUUCUCCUAAUCCGUCCCCUUUGCAGCUCCCCUUCCUGCUGAGAGCCACCUUCAUCGGCAAUAAAAUCCCCCACAUUGACCAUCCUUCUAAUUCAUGUAUGCAACAUUCUUCCUGGAUGCCAGAAAAGAACUCAGGUGUGGGUGCAAAAGGCUGUCACACUGACCCUCUACUGAGCUGUUAACACUUAAGCUGUCCAUGGAUGGCAAAGCUAAAAGAGCACCGACUAUAACACUCCUUCUGGGGCUUCAGGGGUCAUGGGCACCCUCAAGACACUGCCACAGGACCGGCACAAAGUUUGUUUCUGCUGGCACCCCAAAACGCCCACCCCAGCUCGUGCACCUCCUCACCUGCAUGCCCCCUUCAGCAAGGGGUUAAGCACUGUGGGUUU
RNAcentral lists this long non-coding RNA (961 nucleotides) under Homo sapiens (human). RNAcentral's name for it is "HSALNT0315298". Lineage: Eukaryota; Metazoa; Chordata; Mammalia; Primates; Hominidae. The record is from RNAcentral.